This 217-nucleotide non-coding RNA is filed under the name Caloramator australicus. RNAcentral describes it as "T-box sequence". It matches the Rfam family "T-box leader". Rfam says of the family: Uncharged tRNA acts as the effector for transcription antitermination of genes in the T-box leader family. The record is from RNAcentral. Lineage: Bacteria; Bacillati; Bacillota; Clostridia; Eubacteriales; Clostridiaceae.
AUAAAGGCUAUGAUGGGGACGAGUAAAUCUUGAUAUGUUACCAGAGAGGGAAAUCCGUCGGCUGGAAGGUUUCCUUAACAUUAGAGAUUGAAAACCACCCCGAAGCUCCUUCCUGAAAUCUAUGAGAGUAGGGAAAGGCGUUGGCUGCGUUAAAGCCUUGAGAGGGUUUUUACCAAUUUGGGUGGAACCGCGGAAGUACAGGCCUUUCGUCCCAUGG